Molecule: ribosomal RNA, 605 nt
Filed under: Escherichia coli
Lineage: Bacteria; Pseudomonadati; Pseudomonadota; Gammaproteobacteria; Enterobacterales; Enterobacteriaceae
Description: bacterial SSU rRNA
Rfam family: Bacterial small subunit ribosomal RNA
Source: RNAcentral
GCAGCUUGCUGCUUCGCUGACGAGUGGCGGACGGGUGAGUAAUGUCUGGGAAACUGCCUGAUGGAGGGGGAUAACUACUGGAAACGGUAGCUAAUACCGCAUAACGUCGCAAGACCAAAGAGGGGGACCUUCGGGCCUCUUGCCAUCGGAUGUGCCCAGAUGGGAUUAGCUAGUAGGUGGGGUAACGGCUCACCUAGGCGACGAUCCCUAGCUGGUCUGAGAGGAUGACCAGCCACACUGGAACUGAGACACGGUCCAGACUCCUACGGGAGGCAGCAGUGGGGAAUAUUGCACAAUGGGCGCAAGCCUGAUGCAGCCAUGCCGCGUGUAUGAAGAAGGCCUUCGGGUUGUAAAGUACUUUCAGCGGGGAGGAAGGGAGUAAAGUUAAUACCUUUGCUCAUUGACGUUACCCGCAGAAGAAGCACCGGCUAACUCCGUGCCAGCAGCCGCGGUAAUACGGAGGGUGCAAGCGUUAAUCGGAAUUACUGGGCGUAAAGCGCACGCAGGCGGUUUGUUAAGUCAGAUGUGAAAUCCCCGGGCUCAACCUGGGAACUGCAUCUGAUACUGGCAAGCUUGAGUCUCGUAGAGGGGGGUAGAAUUCCAUG